CUUCGGGGUGACGAUGGUGGAACGAGCGGCGGACGGGUGAGUAACACGUGGGCAACCUACCUUUUAGACUGGGAUAACCCCGGGAAACCGGAGCUAAUACCAGAUAGCCCCAUCGAUCGCCUGAUCGAUGGGAGAAAGCGGGGAGCAAUCCUCGCCCUAGAAGAUGGGCCCGCGGCGCAUUAGCUAGUUGGGAAGGUAAAGGCUUCCCAAGGCAACGAUGCGUAGCCGACCUGAGAGGGUGAUCGGCCACACUGGGACUGAGACACGGCCCAGACUCCUACGGGAGGCAGCAGUAGGGAAUCAUCCGCAAUGGGCGAAAGCCUGACGGUGCAACGCCGCGUGAGUGAAGAAGGUUUUCGGAUCGUAAAGCUCUGUUAUCCGAGAAGAACAAGGACUGGUCGAAUAGGCCGGUCCCCUGACGGUACCGGAUCAGAAAGCCCCGGCUAACUACGUGCCAGCAGCCGCGGUAAUACGUAGGGGGCAAGCGUUGUCCGGAAUUAUUGGGCGUAAAGGGCGCGCAGGCGGUUUCCUAAGUCUGAUGUG
Molecule: ribosomal RNA, 543 nt
Filed under: Salibacterium salarium
Lineage: Bacteria; Bacillati; Bacillota; Bacilli; Caryophanales; Bacillaceae
Description: bacterial SSU rRNA
Rfam family: Bacterial small subunit ribosomal RNA
Source: RNAcentral